CUGUACCAUGAUCAUAGAAGAGAAAGUAGUAAGACCUUCCCUAGUAACUUCACCAAAAUAUGUGCUUUUCUUUCAAGCAUACCAAAAUGAAAAUGACCAAGGCAUAGCUAUUCUGCAAAAGGCUAUCACGCAAGGAUAAAUAGUACGAUUAUUUACACGAGUCAAAAACAUCUGCUCAUCUUCCACAUCUGUUAUGGCGCUGCUAGAAAGAGGGCGCGAGAAGGCUGGCCGGGGGCCUUUUUGCCCACGGCCAGGCAAGAGGGAAGGGAUUUCCUUCUUAAUUCUUGCUUGAUUAGAUUGAUACAUCUCCUCUCUUUAUAUAGAGAGGUUUACUUGACUCUCAAGCAAGGCUUACUUGACCCCUAAGCAAACGACCCUUAUCUCUAAUUAACCCUAAGACUAAUGGGCCCAUUAGGCGCAUUACGUACUCUAACAACAUCCCAUUACCUUUAUGCCAAGAAUCAGCAGUACAAC
RNAcentral lists this long non-coding RNA (474 nucleotides) under Triticum aestivum (bread wheat). RNAcentral describes it as "long non-coding RNA (TAES_LNC003749)". Lineage: Eukaryota; Viridiplantae; Streptophyta; Magnoliopsida; Poales; Poaceae. The record is from RNAcentral.